AAGGCCGAGGUUUGCAGACUGCACCGCUGCGGUAGACGGGCAGCAGGCAAGGCAGCCAGGGGACACGGGGUGUGAGGUCGGCCCUGACCUGCGAGAUGCCGCCGUCAGCCUGUCCGUGGCGUGCCGCCCCGGCCUGCUUGUUGAGGGAAGCUGGGAAGGAAUAUACUGUACAAAGCUGCAUAUUGCUCGACGGAGACCCACUGGAGAGAUUGUGAACCCAAGGGCGGAGCCAUUCCUUUCUGCAGUUCUCUACUGCAAAAAAAUCAAACAUGAAUGCACAUAAACAUUGAACCGAAUUGGAUAACACAAAAAACAAACAAAAUCAAAUUGAAGAACUGCAUGACGGAGACUCAUUUUUGUGAGAUUUGUGGCAGUUGGGGGGUGUUGCACGAGAAGGAAUUGGAGAUGGGAGAGAGAGAGAGAGAGCUCCCUCUGAACGGCAUAUGUGCAUCCACAAACAAAAAAUCAAAAAAAGAACUGCCCGUGUGCUACAAAUCGAAGGAGCUCCUAGGCUCGGGGGCAGGGCGCCACAGCCUCAGCCUCCUCCUUCUGGUUGGGAGCCGCCGUCUGUUGGUGCUACCAAAGAGACGGAUGCACCAAAGGGAGGGAAGAACGGUGGAAUGCUGUGGUUUUGGCCGGAUCCAUCCGGGUCGCACAGGACCAUGGCUGGCCAGAUCCGUCGAUUGGUGGGGCAGGCUCGGGAGCAGUCUAUCUUGUGCGAAUCUGGCAACCACCGAGGCAGGGCUUUGGGGUGUGGCGGCGGUUGGUUGGGGGAGACAGGGGAGGGAGGAAGAAGAAGGUGGGGCAUCGGGGCAGAGCAUGGG
RNAcentral lists this ribosomal RNA (824 nucleotides) under Triticum aestivum (bread wheat). RNAcentral describes it as "partial small subunit ribosomal RNA". Lineage: Eukaryota; Viridiplantae; Streptophyta; Magnoliopsida; Poales; Poaceae. The record is from RNAcentral.